This 46-nucleotide non-coding RNA is filed under the name Bigelowiella natans. The record is from RNAcentral. Lineage: Eukaryota; Cercozoa; Chlorarachniophyceae.
AGCGAAACAUAACAAAAAGCAGCACGAAUGACAUUAGAAUAUACCU